Molecule: ribosomal RNA, 268 nt
Filed under: uncultured bacterium
Lineage: Bacteria
Description: partial 16S ribosomal RNA
Rfam family: Bacterial small subunit ribosomal RNA
Source: RNAcentral
CGGUAAACAGAGGGAAGCGAGCCUGCGAGGGGGAGCGAAUCCCAAAAUAAACGUCCCAGUUCGGAUUGUAGUCUGCAACCCGACUACAUGAAGCUGGAAUCGCUAGUAAUCGCGGAUCAGAAUGCCGCGGUGAAUACGUUCCCGGGUCUUGUACACACCGCCCGUCACACCAUGGGAGUCGGAAAUGCCCGAAGUCUGUGACCCAACCUUAGGGAGGGAGCAGCCGAAGGCAGGUCGGAUGACUGGGGUGAAGUCGUAACAAGGUACC